RNAcentral lists this long non-coding RNA (777 nucleotides) under Canis lupus familiaris (dog). Its description in RNAcentral is "lncRNA (ENSCAFG00030020792.1)". Lineage: Eukaryota; Metazoa; Chordata; Mammalia; Carnivora; Canidae. The record is from RNAcentral.
AUGUUACCAUUUUUAUUAGUUAUUAGUAUCCUGCAUCUCAAACCCACAGGAGCUGUGGGAGGUGUGAGGAGCCGGGGCUGCAGGGAUGCAGGGUGGUCCCAGGGAGCGUGUGGGCAGAAGACACAGCGGAGGCCUCGCCGCUCUCGCCCUCCCCUGGAUCCGAAGCCCUCAGCUUCAGGAGGCAGAGGAGCCGUUAAUAGGAAAACAACGCCGAUGGUUUGUUACUUUUCUCGUUGCUUCAUAAAAGAGCAGGGAACCAAACUGUCAGUGUGGAACCAGUGGAACCAAUCCAGCAGCGACGGAUUUCUUCCAUUUUCAGCCUCGUAUCUUUGUAAACCACCCCGGCACCAAAUGCAGAGAUUAAUAUGUACCACAGUCGGAACAAUGGGUCUUCGUGGGCAGCCCGUCCCUCCCGUGGAGCGCGUGGCCGAGGAGGGGUCCGAGGAAGGGCUGCGUCUCUAACCUGCAGGCCUCCUGGGGGACGACGUGUUUGCUUUGGCCCAUAAAUCAGUCCCACGGAUCACUUCGGGAAUCGUUAGGCUUUAUCAUGACGCGUUGCCACCUUUGAGGGAAUAAUUGCCCAGUUUGGCCAACUUGGGACCUGCUUCCUUCAUCUUAAUUUCCUCUCUGGGGAUGCCCUAAUUAGUAUUUACUUUCACUUAAAAGAGAGAAAUUUCUUCUGAUGCAAUCAACAGUUUCCCUUGCGUGCCAAGCUUGUUUUAUGAUAUUAAGCAUUUAAAUAAAAAAUUAUAAACGUACCGUGAAAUGCUGAUGGGG